AAAUUGAAGAGUUUGAUCAUGGCUCAGAUUGAACGCUGGCGGCAGGCCUAACACAUGCAAGUCGAGCGGAAACGAGUUGUCUGAACCUUCGGGGGACGAUAACGGCGUCGAGCGGCGGACGGGUGAGUAAUGCCUAGGAAAUUGCCCUGAUGUGGGGGAUAACCAUUGGAAACGAUGGCUAAUACCGCAU
This 190-nucleotide ribosomal RNA is filed under the name Vibrio parahaemolyticus. RNAcentral's name for it is "partial 16S ribosomal RNA". It matches the Rfam family "Bacterial small subunit ribosomal RNA", at positions 1 to 174 of the family's 1533-position model. The record is from RNAcentral. Lineage: Bacteria; Pseudomonadati; Pseudomonadota; Gammaproteobacteria; Vibrionales; Vibrionaceae.